GUGAGUCAUCGAAUCUUUGAACGCACAUUGCGCCUCUCGCGAGGGAGGCAUGCCUGUCUGAGCGUCGUUUAAAACCAUAGCCGGGGCUCUCAAUGGCCCCGUCUGUCCUGGGCCUCGCCUCUGGGCGUACCCCCAAUGUCAUCGGUCUCAUCCGUGGACGAGUCCCCAUAGGGCGGACCACGGCGGGACCCUAAAUCGCAUCGAGAUUUGACCUCAGAUCAGGUAGGGACACCGCCUGAACUUAAGCAUAUCAAUAAGCGGAGGA
RNAcentral lists this unclassified non-coding RNA (265 nucleotides) under Archaeorhizomycetes sp. RNAcentral describes it as "partial contains 5.8S ribosomal RNA, internal transcribed spacer 2, and large subunit ribosomal RNA". The stretch from base 1 to 67 matches the Rfam family "5.8S ribosomal RNA", at positions 84 to 154 of the family's 154-position model. Lineage: Eukaryota; Fungi; Ascomycota; Archaeorhizomycetes. The record is from RNAcentral.